AUGACACUUAAGCACAGAGACUUGAUCCAUUCGGGUCGGGUCGCUACAAUUUUUGUCUUGGAUAAGAUAUGUUUCAGUGCUAUGGAAACUAUGGAGGUAAAGAGAGUUUACCUGAAGAUCGAGCAUGGUUAUACUUUCAACGUCAAAUUAUACAAUGCAGACACGUACACCUAUUUUGAAUGCAAAACUUGGCAAGCACUAUGCAAGGCUUAUGCAUUUGAGCCUGAUAUGGUUAUCACCUUUGAUAUUCGUCCGGAAGAUGAUAUUGAAGGUAAUAGAGACAUCUGGGUCGAUGUGCAGACGCCUCCAGUUCUACCAUUCUCUUAUUUCCAUUCAAGCAAAUAUGUCCGGCGCUUGGUAGACAGGACCUACUACUGUCCCGGAGUUGAACUAAACUGCGAGGAGAUAAGUCAUUAUGUUUCAUGGCUUGAGGAUUUUGAUGCUGUUAAGAGAAAUCAUUUCCCUGAAUUUGAAAAUCUUAGUACUCAAAACGUGCGACCAAUAGUGAUCGUAUUGAACUACGGUCACAUGUAUUUAGGAAAGAUGGAACUCCCGAUGAAAGUUGUGCCUCAGUGGAUCGAGACUAAAGGUUGCAUGUCAAUUGUUAGCUUACGGCCAAGAUAUCCUACAGUGCACAUGAGUGCAUUCAGGAUUUCUGAAAGCGAUGAAUGCUUAAUAGUGAAAGAUUGGAGCAAAAUUGUUAACGAUCGUAGAGAAGUACUAGGGGGCAGCAAUCAGAAGCGCAGCCCACGAUUAGGAGACAGGUUCAUCUGCAUGCUCCAAUAUGAUGAAUCAGGAGAGCUAUACAUGUUCUAUGCUAUUUUACCUGAGAGAGAGCAGCAGGAGUGA
RNAcentral lists this ribosomal RNA (849 nucleotides) under Triticum aestivum (bread wheat). RNAcentral's name for it is "partial small subunit ribosomal RNA". Lineage: Eukaryota; Viridiplantae; Streptophyta; Magnoliopsida; Poales; Poaceae. The record is from RNAcentral.